Cryptomeria japonica (Japanese cedar) is the source of this 770-nucleotide long non-coding RNA. RefSeq lists it as uncharacterized. The transcript has 3 exons. Lineage: Eukaryota; Viridiplantae; Streptophyta; Pinopsida; Cupressales; Cupressaceae. The record is from RefSeq and is a predicted model, not a curated record.
UCCCUCUCAUUGAACUCAUCUGCCCGCUUUUGCUCCUCUCAUGGCAUCGUAUUCGGCAUGUAGUUUUCAUUAGCGGGAAGGAUUAUACAGAUACUUCAUUCCAUGGCUCCUUCUUGCACUUCAUUCAAGGUCUCCUUCAGAGAGCGACAAGAGUCCACCAAGAAUCAAUGGGAGAGACUCGUUUGUGAAGGAAGGGGCAAUCAUCCUAUAGGACUUGAGUAGGGCUUCUGUGUGGACAACAUUGCUACUAUUUGUUCUUACAAAUUCCAGUGCCUGCACACUCAUCAAAAAGGUUUAAAAGAGUAACCAGAGAGGUCUUUGGCAUGUUAAUUGUUGUAUUAUUUCUGCAAGAAGGUAUCAAGGUUCACGCUUAGGAUGAGAAUCAGACUAUGUAAGUGCCAUUUCAGAAACAUAAAUGUAUCAUUCAAAAAUUUUGUACAUUCUCUUUGUGUUGCAUAGAGCCAGAUAGAUAUUGUAAGGUUUUGUGUAAGAAACACAGUUGUUUUAUUUUCAAGGCAACAAAAAGUUGUUCAAUACAUAAACACAAAAUAGCUGGCAAUGGUCACAUGUUCUCAACUAUUAUUCAGACUUGAAACUCGGUACUAAACCAAAGGGUGUUUUGAGACCCAAGAUUCUGAAGGGUUUAAUUAUUCUUUAAAGGGUGCUAGCUCAAUGGAAGAGCACCUGCUUUACAAGCAAUAGGUUGGUGGUUCAAUUCCAUCGCGCCCUAACAUAAAUUAGUCAAUGAUAUUGUAGUUUAUAUUUAACAA